RNAcentral lists this ribosomal RNA (667 nucleotides) under uncultured Bacillota bacterium. RNAcentral's name for it is "bacterial SSU rRNA". It matches the Rfam family "Bacterial small subunit ribosomal RNA", at positions 836 to 1504 of the family's 1533-position model. Lineage: Bacteria; Bacillati; Bacillota. The record is from RNAcentral.
CCUGUUAGUAACGAAGCUAACGCGUGAAGUUGACCGCCUGGGGAGUACGGCCGCAAGGUUAAAACUCAAAGGAAUUGACGGGGACCCGCACAAGCGGUGGAUGAUGUGGAUUAAUUCGAUGCAACGCGAAAAACCUUACCUACCCUUGACAUGCCAGGAAGGCGCGAGAGAUUGCGCUGUGCCUUCGGGAACCUGGACACAGGUGCUGCAUGGCUGUCGUCAGCUCGUGUCGUGAGAUGUUCGGUUAAGUCCGGCAACGAGCGCAACCCCUGUGAUAUGUUGCCAAUAUUAAGUUAGGAACUCAUAUCAGACUGCCGUGGACAACACGGAGGAAGGCGGGGAUGACGUCAAAUCAUCAUGCCCCUUACGUCUUGGGCUACACACGUGCUACAAUGGGCGCUACAAAGGGCAGCAGAAUCGUGAGAUCGAGCGAAUCCCAAAAAAGCGUUCUCAGUUCAGAUUGAGGGCUGCAACCCGCCCUCAUGAAGGAGGAGUUGCUAGUAAUCCCGAAUCAGCAUGUCGGGGUGAAUGCGUUCCCGGGUCUUGUACACACCGCCCGUCACGCCAUGGGAGUCGGGAGUACCCGAAGUCAGUGAGCUAACCGCAAGGAGGCAGCUGCCUAAGGUAAGACUGAUGACUGGGGUGAAGUCGUAACAAGGUAACCGUA